UACGUAGGGAGCAAGCGUUGUCCGGAAUCAUUGGGCGGAAAGCGCGCGUAGGCGGCCCUGUAAGUCCGCUGUGAAAGUCAAAGGCUCAACCUUUGAAAGCCGGUGGAUACUGCAGGGCUAGAGUCCGGAAGAGGCGAGUGGAAUUCCUGGUGUAGCGGUGGAAUGCGCAGAUAUCAGGAGGAACACCGAUGGCGAAGGCAGCUCGCUGGGACGGUACUGACGCUGAGGCGCGAAAGCGUGGGGAGCGAACAGG
RNAcentral lists this ribosomal RNA (253 nucleotides) under uncultured bacterium. RNAcentral's name for it is "partial 16S ribosomal RNA". It matches the Rfam family "Bacterial small subunit ribosomal RNA", at positions 524 to 776 of the family's 1533-position model. The record is from RNAcentral.